This 451-nucleotide ribosomal RNA is filed under the name uncultured bacterium. RNAcentral describes it as "partial 16S ribosomal RNA". It matches the Rfam family "Bacterial small subunit ribosomal RNA", at positions 28 to 507 of the family's 1533-position model. The record is from RNAcentral.
AGCGAACGCUGGCGGCAUGCCUAACACAUGCAAGUCGCACGGGGGGGCUUCGGCCUCCCAGUGGCGGACGGGUGAGGAACGCGUAGGGACCUGUCGAGGGGUGGGGGAUAACCGCGGGAAACUGCGGCUAAUACCGCAUGACGCCGCGGCGUGACAGCCGGGGCCAAAGGCGAAAGCCGCCCGCCGAGGGGCCUGCGUCCGAUUAGCUGGUUGGCGGGGUAGCGGCCCACCAAGGCGUCGAUCGGUAGCUGGUCUGAGAGGGUGAACAGCCACACCGGGACUGAGACACGGCCCGGACUCCUACGGGAGGCAGCAGUGGGGAAUAUUGGACAAUGGGCGCAAGCCUGAUCCAGCAAUGCCGCGUGGGUGAAGAAGGUCUUCGGAUUGUAAAGCCCUUUCGGCGGGGACGAUGGUGACGGUACCCGCAGAAGAAGCCCCGGCUAACUUCGUG